GAUGAACGCUAGCGGGAGGCCUAACACAUGCAAGCCGAGCGGUAUUGUUUCUUCGGAAAUGAGAGAGCGGCGUACGGGUGCGUAACACGUGUGCAACCUGCCUUUAUCUGGGGGAUAGCCUUUCGAAAGGAAGAUUAAUACUCCAUAAUAUAUUGAGCGGCAUCGUUUAAUAUUGAAAGCUCCGGCGGAUAGAGAUGGGCACGCGCAAGAUUAGCUAGUUGGUGAGGUAACGGCUCACCAAGGCGAUGAUCUUUAGGGGGCCUGAGAGGGUGAUCCCCCACACUGGUACUGAGACACGGACCAGACUCCUACGGGAGGCAGCAGUGAGGAAUAUUGAUCAAUGGGUGCAAGCCUGAACCAGCCAUCCCGCGUGAAGGACGACUGCCCUAUGGGUUGUAAACUUCUUUUGUAUAGGGAUAAACCUACCCUCGAGAGGGUAGCUGAAGGUACUAUACGGAUAAGCACCGGCUAACUCCGUG
This 479-nucleotide ribosomal RNA is filed under the name uncultured bacterium. RNAcentral's name for it is "partial 16S ribosomal RNA". It matches the Rfam family "Bacterial small subunit ribosomal RNA", at positions 28 to 507 of the family's 1533-position model. The record is from RNAcentral.